GACGAACGCUGGCGGCGUGCUUAACACAUGCAAGUCGAACGGAAAGGCCCUGCUUUUGUGGGGUGCUCGUGUGGCGAACGGGUGUGUAUCACGUGUGUAACCUGCCCUUGACUUUGUGAUAACUUCAGGAAACUGCGGCUAAUACCGGAUAGGAGCUCCUGCUGCAUGGUGGGGGUUGGUAAGUUUCGGCGGUUGGGGAUGGACUCGCGGCUUAUCAGCUUGUUGGUGGGGUAGUGGCUUACCAAGGCUUUGACGGGUAGCCGGCCUGAGAGGGUUACCGGCCACAUUGGGACUGAGAGACGGCGCAGACGCCAACGGGAGGCAGCAGGGGGGAAUAUGGCAGAAUGGGCGGAAGCCUGAGGCAGCAACGCCGCGUGCGGGAUGACGGCCUACGGGGUGUAAACCGCUGUCGCCUGAGACGAAGCGUGAGUGACGGUAAUGGGUAAAGAAGCAACGGCUAACUACGUG
RNAcentral lists this ribosomal RNA (468 nucleotides) under uncultured bacterium. Its description in RNAcentral is "partial 16S ribosomal RNA". It matches the Rfam family "Bacterial small subunit ribosomal RNA", at positions 28 to 507 of the family's 1533-position model. The record is from RNAcentral.